CGCGUAGGCGGUUUACACAGUCAGAUGUGAAAUUCCAGGGCUUAACCUUGGGGCUGCAUUUGAUACGUGUAGACUAGAGUGUGAGAGAGGGUUGUGGAAUUCCCAGUGUAGAGGUGAAAUUCGUAGAUAUUGGGAAGAACACCGGUGGCGAAGGCGGCAACCUGGCUCAUUACUGACGCUGAGGCACGAAGGCCAGGGGAGCAAACGGGAUUAGAUACCCGUGUA
RNAcentral lists this ribosomal RNA (225 nucleotides) under uncultured Asaia sp. RNAcentral describes it as "partial 16S ribosomal RNA". It matches the Rfam family "Bacterial small subunit ribosomal RNA", at positions 568 to 792 of the family's 1533-position model. The record is from RNAcentral. Lineage: Bacteria; Pseudomonadati; Pseudomonadota; Alphaproteobacteria; Acetobacterales; Acetobacteraceae.